UUAAGUUGGUUUAGCCUGUUUUUAGCUGGUCUCCCAGCUUGUCCAGGCUGAUCAGGCUGGUUUUAGCUGGUCUCUAAUUUUUACCAUAUUUUCUAUCGCCCUACAACUAAGCCUACCCAUUACAGGAAAUAUUCUGCUAUUUCAGAUUUUCAAUACACUCCAUGUGUGAUUUAUAAGCUUGUCUCCUCAUGGGGACCUAAAAAAUGUCCCUACAAGGUCAAAAUGCACUGGUAUUAGGCUUACUAUACUAUUCUAUAAUUACUAUAUUUACAUUUGGUCCCCAUAAUGUGAUAAAUACCAGGUGUACACACACACACACACACACACAAACAGUGAUCACAAAAUAAAACAACACAAAAAAUAGAAAAAGAAUAGAUGAUUUAAUAAUAAUUUAAGUUAUUUAUUUAAGUUAUGUUCUAAUUUUAAAUGUUUAUUAAUGUAAAUUCUGCGUGACUGUGACGUGUUUAAAUGGGCGUGCGUGCUGAACAUUCGAGUCUCAUUCAAACACUGGAGCGGAGGGAGUUGCCAUAGAAACGGAGCGCGAACACAACAACUGACAAGCCGGGAAUCACUGACUUUUGCUGCUGUUUUCAAAGCUUUCGGAGAGAGAAAAAAACCUCAGAAACAGGAGAAGCUCCAAGAUUUCACAAUUUCUGAAGGCAGAAGAACUGGGAAAGCUUCUUAAAUUUUUAAGAGCGCUUUGACAUACAUAAAUUCUUCAGUGCUAAUGGCCUGCUGCACCCCAGAGUCCUGUCAGACAACAUCUACAAAGAACACUGAACCAUUGGGCUAAUAACUUAACCUCAAAUAUACACUAUUGUUCAAAAUUCAGUAAGAUAUUUAAUGUUUUAACACAAUUCACACAUAACACAUCUCAUUACCGUGCACUACAGUUAUAUGUGAUGAAAUAAAUAAUCUUUUAUGUGAAAUAAUACGAACAGCAGCUAUGCUAAUCUUUCUCCUUUUGGUUUCCUGUUUCUAUCCCGGGAUGCCCAUCUCAAAGUUACUAGAGAUUACGCCAGUUCCAGUUUGGAUCCAGCCUUCAGAAGACACCAACACUCACAAUGACUUCAGAUGAUGACAACUAUAGGUGAACAUACAAGUCUGCCAAAUAUUAUCCUUAUAUUGUGGUCAUUGCCCUAAAAGGGAGGAACUUCUCAACAAAUUCACUUCACAGCGCAUCACUGGAAGGCUUUCCUAUGUAACAAACAUAGUUUUCCACUCUUGUAUUUAUCCAUAUCAG
Molecule: long non-coding RNA, 1243 nt
Organism: Cyprinus carpio (common carp)
Lineage: Eukaryota; Metazoa; Chordata; Actinopteri; Cypriniformes; Cyprinidae
Exons: 4
Source: RefSeq, a predicted model, not a curated record